CAAAGGUUCACAUAAGUCACCUCUGCAACAGGGGUCUGCCAUUCCAAACAAUUCCGGAAAGAUUGCACAGGACUGGAUAAAUAAUUAAGAACAGAGUGUUCUGAACAUAACUCCAAGUAGAAGAGCCUCAAGCUGAAGGUACAGUAUCUUGUUUACACUGAAGGAGCUUGUGUGUGGACAAGAAAGCGCUGACAGCUCAAAUGGAUCCCAUGGAACUGAGCAAUGUCAACAUCGAACCUGAUGAUGAGAGCAUCAGUGGAGAAAGUAUUCAAGAUAGCUACACCGGGAUGGGAAAUUUAGAAAAGGCAGCAAUGAGCAGUCAAUUUACUAAUGAAGAUGCUGAAAGUCAGAAAUUUCUGACAAAUGGAUUUUUGGGGAAAAAGAAGCUGGCAGAUUAUGACGAUGAACAUCAUCCUGGAACCACCUCCUUUGGAAUGUCUUCAUUCAAUCUGAGUAAUGCCAUCAUGGGUAGUGGAAUCCUGGGCCUGUCCUAUGCCAUGGCCAACACAGGGAUCAUCCUUUUUAUAAUCAUGCUGCUUGCCGUGGCAAUCCUAUCUCUCUAUUCAGUUCAUCUUUUAUUAAAGACUGCAAAGGAAGGAGGGUCUUUAAUUUAUGAAAAACUAGGUGAAAAGGCAUUUGGAUGGCCUGGGAAAAUCGGAGCUUUUAUUUCCAUUACAAUGCAGAACAUUGGAGCCAUGUCAAGCUACCUCUUCAUUAUUAAAUAUGAACUACCUGAAGUAAUCAGAGCGUUCAUGGGACUUGAAGAAAAUACUGGAGAAUGGUAUGUCAAUGGCAACUACCUCGUCAUAUUUGUGUCAGUUGGAAUCAUUCUUCCACUUUCUCUUCUUAAAAAUUUAGGUUACCUUGGUUAUACCAGCGGAUUUUCUCUUACCUGCAUGGUGUUUUUUGUCAGUGUGGUGAUUUACAAGAAAUUCCAAAUACCCUGCCCUCUGCCUGUUCUGGAUCACAAUGUUGGGAAUCUGACAUUCAACAAUACAGUUCCAAUGCACGUGAUGAUGUUACCCAACAACUCUGAGAGUAGUGGUGUAAACUUCAUGAUGGAUUACACCCACCAGAAUCCUGCAGGGCUGGAUGACAACCAGGCCAAGGGCUCAAUUCAUGGCAGUGGAGUAGAGUAUGAAGCACACAGUGAUGACAAGUGUCAGCCCAAAUAUUUUGUAUUCAACUCCCGGACGGCCUACGCAAUUCCCAUCCUAGCAUUUGCUUUUGUAUGCCACCCUGAGGUCCUUCCCAUCUACAGUGAACUUAAAGAUCGGUCCCGGAGGAAGAUGCAAACAGUGUCAAAUGUUUCCAUCACGGGGAUGCUCGUCAUGUACCUGCUUGCUGCCCUCUUUGGUUACCUAACCUUUUAUGGAGAAGUUGAAGAUGAAUUGCUUCACGCUUACAGCAAAGUGUACACAUUUGACACCCCUCUCCUCAUGGUACGCCUGGCCGUCCUGGUGGCAGUAACACUAACUGUGCCCAUAGUGCUGUUCCCUGAGCCCAAGAAGAGAUGACAAGAGUUCUGUUGUUGUUGGUGGUGGUGGUUGCUUUUUCCUUUUAUCUCUCCAUUUAUUAUCUUUCUUUUCUCCAGACAGGUUAGCUUUGUCCUUCUUAGAAAGUGCACAAAGUAAGUGCUUGAAGUGUUUAUUGAACAAUAAAUAAAUAAAGAGAAUUAAGACUCUAGCUUUUUCACAAGCCACUCAAUACUGUUUUUUCUUUCUUAGUAGUGGGAGGGGGUGAUAUGGAGUGGGAUGUCUAUUAUGGGACUGCACCUCCUUCCCAAGGAUAAUGCUAUUUUCAGCUUGUGCUUCCCUUUAUGCAGAAAAUGCACACAUUACCAUGAAAAACAGAAAGCCCAAUAACCCUAAUGGGUUUAUCAAGAACACACAGACUCAAAUUCUACCUACCGCACCUUAAAAAAAAGAAAGGAGAUCGUGUCUCAGAUUCUUUGGCUACUUCCUCUUCAUUUUAUUUUAGUAAAACCAAUCUUUUCACUUAUGUUGCCUUCAGACUUCCUGUUUUGAAGUGAAUAUAGAUAUAGGCCUAGAAAUAUGGCAGAUGUUGCUAUGAACUGGAAUAGAAUAGUGAUGCAUAGGUAUUUCCUACACUCUUGUCCUACGCAAUCCUACUGAAGUAUGGUUCACUUCUCAACAACAGAAUGGAUUUUUUUUUCGAGUUCAGAACUAAGGCUCCCAAUUUCUACUCAACCUCCACGUUUCUGACUUCACAUUGAGUCCCCACUUUAGAACACAGCACCUCCUAACAGGCUCAGAACACUGUCUCUGGAAAUAACAGAUGUGUUCUCUAGAACUGCAUGGAACUUUUCUAGAAUUAUUCAUGGGGCUGUGGCUGGGGACUUCCCCACGCACAGCAUCUGACCCACAUUUCCAGGUUCUUAUCAGUUUGUGUCAGAGAGAAAAGGGCACUGAGAUAAGUGGGGCGGAAGGCAAGGCUCUCUGGGUAAUAAGUCAGAGUCACCUCUAUCUUGACACAGGUAAAUAGAGCUGCUGGGGACCUCUCGAUCCCAGGCUCACCCCUCAAGGCAGCGUUUUAACAUGGAAUGACUAGCAAGUUUCAUUCUAUUCUUUUCCACCAACUACCACCAUCAGCAGCCUUCUAUCUCCCUAUUUGUCCUGUUGCCCAUUUUAGGAAUGCAUUGGCAACUCUAUAUGCCUUCAGUUCUGUUUGGGAUUUUGUUAUUCCUUAUUCAUUCUGAAGAGCAAGAUUUCACCAUUUACUUCAACCAUUAUUCCUGUAAACUUUCUAUACUGUUACAUCAUUAGGCCAAAUCUUCGUCUUUCUGGGAGUUACCUUAGGAAACUGUAUUUAUUUACAUUCAGAGGCCCUGUACAUAUAAGUUUGCCUCUAACUCAGCUUAUAGAAUUAAAGGCAUUAUUUCAACAAAGGGCUGAAAAGCACAUACCUGUGACCCCUGCCUGAAAAUAACCUGUAUUCUACUUGUUUAUGCUAUAAGUUUAUCACUUUCAGACAAAUAAAUCCUUAAGCACUAUGUAUGAACCAUCGAAAGCUUAUUUUAAGCUUAUUAAGUUAGGACAAUAUUGAAUAAGCCCUAAUUGUAGGACAUAAUGUAGAAUUUCCAAGCUGCUGGGGAAAACAAAAUCAAACCAUUUGUUUUCCUCAGUCUACUUUUCAGAGUGAGUUUCAUAAUUUUCAGUCAUCCAAAUUUUAAAAUGCAUUACAAACAAACCGUUUCCAGAGACUAUCUGGCUUUGCCAUUCUGGAAGUGAAAUUGCCUUUUAAACCUAAGCAGAUGGCUUUAAUUUUUGCUGGACUGGUAUGAAGAGAAUGUCACAUUAGACACUGUAAACAAUUCAGCUCAAAGUUUUUGUCAUUCAUAUGUGUGUUUCAAAAUAUAUUUUACAUUUUCUCUCUUUUAAGUGAAUUCCCAUCUCCACACCAUUAAGAGACUUCAGAAGCAAAAUUUUAAAGUGAAAAUCAAUCCUAGCGUUUCUAAAAAUGGGAAGUUCUAGCUUAACUCAAGUGCUCACUUAUUGAAAAGCCAAUAAACGAAUUCCACUAAGUCCAAAAGUGUCCUCUAAAAGAUUCCAAAGAUAAGAGUAUUUCCAGCUUUGUUAAGCUGUUCAAACAUAAAUGGCACUCCCUCCCUCUACCCGCAAGGAUCUUUUUAUCCGGUUACAUCAGGGUAACUUGAGCAGGUGCUACAACUGGAGCCUCUCUUGACCCUUCCCCUACUUAUUUCAGCUGCUGAAAUAGGGCUGAAAUCUGUCAAGGAUCUCAAAGGGAGGGAAAAGUUUUGCUCUGUUCAACUUAAGUCAACAUUUAUUGAGUGCCUCCUGCGUGCAAGACACUAAGGUAGAAAUGAGGAGUGUUAAGAUUAUUAGGUCUUGUUCUUUGCCUUUUGUGCAUUUAUCAUCUAUACUUGUGGGGAGGUAAAAGGAGGAAAAAAGAAAGGAGUAAACACAAAAUAUAUCAUAUUUUUAAAAAUAUUAGUUGGCAAAAAUGGUAAAUCAAAUGUAAAAUUAAGAAACACUAGGUUUGUAAAAAUUCUGCUCACAAUCACAUGCAAAUAAAUUCAGUGCUUGCCCUUCAUACUUAAUCCAGGCUGAUGAGACAUGAUUAGAAAUCAACAAGGGUUCUACUGUGUCUCUGAAUUAUAUAUCUUAUCUGUUCUUUUAUCUCUUUCUGACUGAGAUUAUUUUCAAGAAAAAAAUUCUGAAAGCCGAGAAAGUGAGCACAAGAUAGAUCACCAAGGAAAAUGACACUUUACCAAACAUCAAAAAUCAGCAUCAAACUUGCACAACAAUAUGAAUGUACUUAAUACCACUGGACUGUACAUUUAAAAAUGGCUAAGAUGAUUCGUACAUCAGUGACCACACUGUUAUUUCCCAAAAGACCCUUCAGCUGGAUAAGACAUUUCCUGAUUGCAGCCAUACUUAUUG
RNA transcript from Balaenoptera acutorostrata (minke whale), 4424 nucleotides. It is a transcript of the gene named solute carrier family 38 member 4, with no coding region annotated. The transcript has 15 exons. NCBI's taxonomy places the organism in Eukaryota, Metazoa, Chordata, Mammalia, Artiodactyla, Balaenopteridae. The record is from RefSeq and is a predicted model, not a curated record.